UACGUAGGGUGCAAGCGUUGUCCGGAAUUAUUGGGCGUAAAGAGCUCGUAGGCGGUCUGUCGCGUCUGCUGUGAAAACUCAGGGCUUAACCCUGAGCUUGCAGUGGGUACGGGCAGACUAGAGUGCGGUAGGGGAGACUGGAAUUCCUGGUGUAGCGGUGAAAUGCGCAGAUAUCAGGAGGAACACCGGUGGCGAAGGCGGGUCUCUGGGCCGGUACCGACGCUGAGGAGCGAAAGCGUGGGGAGCGAACAGG
This 253-nucleotide ribosomal RNA is filed under the name uncultured bacterium. RNAcentral describes it as "partial 16S ribosomal RNA". It matches the Rfam family "Bacterial small subunit ribosomal RNA", at positions 524 to 776 of the family's 1533-position model. The record is from RNAcentral.